GAUGGAAAAUCAAUAAGAAAUUGCAAGGCAUAAAUUCUUGAGAGACCAUGUCAAUUUUCCUGUUGCAUAAUGGGUUUCAUGUAUGUUCAUGACUGGAAUUUUAGAGCAUUGCUUACAUCCCCUUACAAGGAUAAGCAAGAAUAUUGGGUUAAAUUCAGGAAUUCAAGUAUGGUUUUUUAAACUUCCUAUGACAAGUUGUAUCUGUCUUUGGCAUUGAGUCUGUUUUGUUUGCCUGAGCUUUAGGCUUAAAAUAUAGGUAUAUGUGGAGGGUAAAUUAUGUGGAAGACUAUAUAUGAUAAUUAUUAUAGACCAAGAUAAAAUUCAUGGAAAGAACAUUAAAAAUUUGAGACAAAGAAAACACUGUGUAGACUUGAUAUUAUAUAUAUAACAGAAUUGGACCCAUAAUUUAUGUACCAAUUGCUUAAACAUAAUGAAUCUCUAGGCCUAGUUGAUAGCUUUAGUAUUGGGAAAUCACUUGACUUAUGAUAGAGAUGGUUGCCUUUAACAUAUCACGUGAGAUUUUGCUUGGAUUAUAGAACAUUAACUAAUUAUACUUCCCACAAUAAUAAUACUAUAACAAUAAUUGAAGAUGAGUUCGUGACAUUACUAAUGGCUAAUAUUAUAACUUGAAAGUAAUUGUUAAUUCCUCAAUAUAAUUCAAAUAGCAUUUUCAUUAUAAUUAGUUCAAGAUGCACUACAUAUCUAAAGAUUCUGGGUCUUGAUUUAAGACUUGCAAGUAUCCUUUCUAUGCUUUUCUUUUCUUGUUGUUGAUGUUAGACUGUUAAGAGUAAGUAUUGCGGCAAAUUUCUAUUCUUGUGUGCUCUGUUUUUGUCUCUUUCCAUAUAUAUAGUUUUAUAUGGGAAAUGUUUGCCUAGUGCUCAUUAUAUAUAUAUAUAUAUAUACA
RNAcentral lists this unclassified non-coding RNA (904 nucleotides) under Hevea brasiliensis (rubber tree). Lineage: Eukaryota; Viridiplantae; Streptophyta; Magnoliopsida; Malpighiales; Euphorbiaceae. The record is from RNAcentral.